AGAGAAUUUGUUGUCAGAGGAAGGAUCCCUCCACGGAUUUUAGGUAUCAAACCAGUGAAUUACCUCUUCCUUUCUCCACUUGUUCAUGCCUGAUAUGGUUUCCAUAAUUUUGCAGGGGAGGCAGAUUUAUAUCGUUGGAGAAUUUGUUGAUUUUGUUGUUGUUAGAAAACAAGUAUGCAUUUGAUAUUCAAUUUUGCAUUGCGUUCAAGUUGAUGGAUGAUAAUUGGCAUACAAUGUGCAAGCUUCCUUCAUGGAUUAUAUAACGUAGGCUUCCGGUCGUCCUCCCUUGAUUGGCUUUAAAAGAAAGCUAGUGUGGCUUCAAGAAAGAUUCAGUCCUUAGAUUAGAGUCUUUAAUUACUUAACUUUCUUUUUCGUUCAAAUUCUCC
This 386-nucleotide long non-coding RNA is filed under the name Capsella rubella. RNAcentral describes it as "long non-coding RNA (CRUB_LNC005224)". The record is from RNAcentral. Lineage: Eukaryota; Viridiplantae; Streptophyta; Magnoliopsida; Brassicales; Brassicaceae.